AAAAGACUUAGUCCUAACCUUACUAUUGGUUUUUGCUAGACAUAUACAUGCAAGUAUCCGCACUCCAGUGAAAAUGCCCCUAAAUCUUCCCCAAGCAAAAGGAGCAGGUAUCAGGCACACUCAUAAGUAGCCCAAGACGCCUUGCCAAGCCACACCCCCACGGGUACUCAGCAGUAAUUAACCUUAAGCAAUAAGUGCAAACUUGACUUAGCCAUGGCAACUUAGGGUUGGUAAAUCUUGUGCCAGCCACCGCGGCCAUACAAGAAACCCAAAUCAAUAGACACCCGGCGUAAAGAGUGGACAUAUGUUAUCUGCACCCACUAAGAUCAAAAUGUGGCCAAGCUGUCAUAAGCCCAAGACCCACCUAAGCCCAAUCCCAAAACCAUCUUAGCCUCCAUGACUAAUUUUAACCCACGAAAGCUAGGGUCCAAACUGGGAUUAGAUACCCCACUAUGCCUAGCCCUAAAUUUAGAUACCUCUUUCUCCACACACGUAUCCGCCUGAGAACUACGAGCACAAACGCUUAAAACUCUAAGGACUUGGCGGUGCCCCAAACCCACCUAGAGGAGCCUGUUCUGUAAUCGAUAAUCCACGAUCCACCCAACCACCCCUUGCCAACACAGCCUACAUACCGCCGUCGCCAGCCCACCUCCAAUGAAAGAACAACAGUGAGCUCAACAGCCCCCCGCUAACAAGACAGGUCAAGGUAUAGCCCAUGGGGUGGAAGAAAUGGGCUACAUUUUCUAGCAUAGAACAAACGAAAAAGGGUGUGAAACCCACCCUUGGAAGGAGGAUUUAGCAGUAAAGUGAGACCACUCCCCCUUAAGCUCACUUUAAGAUGGCCCUGAGGCACGUACAUACCGCCCGUCACCCUCUUCACAAGUCACCAGUACUAAUAAAUAAUACCCCUUCCCGGCUAAAGACGAGGUAAGUCGUAACAAGGUAAGUGUACCGGAAGGUGCACUUAGACCAC
RNAcentral lists this non-coding RNA (973 nucleotides) under Bambusicola fytchii. RNAcentral's name for it is "12S ribosomal RNA". It matches the Rfam family "Bacterial small subunit ribosomal RNA". Lineage: Eukaryota; Metazoa; Chordata; Aves; Galliformes; Phasianidae. The record is from RNAcentral.